Long non-coding RNA from Scleropages formosus (Asian bonytongue), 3208 nucleotides. Lineage: Eukaryota; Metazoa; Chordata; Actinopteri; Osteoglossiformes; Osteoglossidae. The record is from Ensembl.
GGGACGUUGACGCGCAGGCGCGUCUUCAUUUGGCUCGCGCGCCGAAUGCAUGAUUCGCGCAAAACUUACUUAUUCCCUUAUGAAUUUGGAGUACACGGCGAACACAAAACAGCAUUUGCAAGAUGCCAAGAAGCUUCUGGUAAUUUAGUUUCCAGAAGCAGCAGAACCUCCAGUAAUCGAGGAUAUUCGCGUGCUCGGAAACACGCAUAUUCUUAAUUCUUCGGGCAAAGUUAAACAUCAUCAGCGUCGUCACUUGGCAGCUGCGCGCGUAGAAUAUAAAUAAGAAUAUGCAGUAGCAACAGGAGGGUCCAAAUAGAGCGAGUUCCCUUCCUCGCGCCGGAGGUUUAAAAUAGCUCCCGUCGUCGGACGAGCGCGUGCUCGUUUGAACAGUUGUUGCGCGAGCAGCAGGUGUUCGCAGCGGGUGACUUACAGCCCUCCUCGUGGAGGGUCUCUGUCAGAAAUCUCACUCAUUCAUGAGCGCGUGGGGGGGCGGGGAAGGACGCGCGGGAGUGUGUGUGUGUGUGUGUGUGUGUCGGUGGGUGCGUGGGUGGGGGGGUCUGACUGACACCUGUGUUAAGAGCAGAGCCGCCACUCGGCGCGACAGGUUCAGUUAGCGCACUGAGCUCCACGAAAUAUCGAGUCACUUGCGCUCCGACGCUUUGGCAAAGGCUGGGUAAAGUACCUGCUUCUUUACCGAGUGAAAAGCACCGUUCGCCUGGAAUCCUUUGCGCUCCGGACCUCACGGACCUCACGAACGCUCCCGAAGUGCCAACUGUGCCACAACAGGGGGCAAAACAAAUGCGUACACAGGAACAAAGAGGGAACAGUUGUUUUGGGAGAUGUAGCACAUCACUGCGAACACUGCGCCUGUGCCCUGUGAGCGCUGGUGCCCCGGCGGGCUGGAUGUGCAUGGAAGGGAAUGGGGAAAGCAGCUGAUUACAGCAGGGAUUCACAGCGCUCAUGGAAGCACACUGUUGCUGUGCUGCUGCUGCUCAUCCAGCUGCGCUGCUCAAAAGGAGGGACCCAGUGCCGAAUCCUCAGGUGUAACUCGGAGUUUGUGAGCGCGACCAGCAGGAGCCACGAGGGUGGCAACGAGGGCUACUGCAGCGCCCUGCGCUCCUACGCCCUGUGCACCCGGCGGACAGCCAGGGCCUGUCGUGGUGACCUUGCCUACCACUCGGCCGUGCAGGGGAUCGAGGACCUCCUGAUGCAGUACGACUGCCCCAAGACGGGUCCCACCGCCCAGCACCGCCCCCCAUCGCAGACCCCGCUCUCUGGCGACGCUUGUUUCUACGAGAGGGCCUUUCAGCAACGUGAAGGCCGCCUCCCCGAGUACUUACAUUGUGGGGUUUUUGGGGACCCCCACAUACGCACCUUCAACAAUGAGUUUCAGACCUGUGUAGUGGAGGGUGCGUGGCCGCUGAUCGAUAACGAGUACCUGUACGUACAGGCCACCAGCACGGCCGUGGCAGGCCGGGAACGCACCACGGUACUCAGCAAGGUCACCGUCAUCUUCAAGAAUUGGCGCGAGUGCAUCGAGCAGCAGAUCUACCAGGCAGAGCUGGACAAUGUACCGGGUGCCUUCGUGGACGGCUCCGUGAGCGACGGCGAGCGGCGUGGCCACCACAGCCUACAGGUGCGCAGCCAGGCUCCCGGGCGCCACGCGGAGAUCUGGGCCGCGCACAUUGGGACCACCCUGGUGGUUAGACAGACGGGACGCUCACUGGGCCUGUCGGUGCGCUCCCCUCGGGCUAUAGUGGACUCCUUCACCGCGGAGAAAGACCUACAGCUGUGCAUGUGGGGCUGCCCCUCCUCGCAGCGACUGGCUGGUCCCCCGGCAGAUCCCUCCGGCUUCGCUCACACCCACUGCUCUGGCGUCCUCCCCACCAAGGACAUUUACUUCCAAGCCUGUGUGCUGGAUGUCCUGGCCAGCGGGGACUCCAACUCGAGCACCGCUGCCGUUGCAGCCCUGGAGGACGCCCGCGCUAUGAUUUCCGAACCGGAGAAAGUGCACCUGCUGCUUGCGAGGACAGCUGAGCACCGCCCCCGCCUUACCGUGAUUUUCACUGUGGUGAUUUUCACGGGGCAAAUGGUUGAGGCCCUGUCUAUGCUCUGUGCAUAAUCAACAGACUUCAGUUUUUGUAAAAGGUUCUGCCUUCUGUAGCUUCUUCCAGUCAGAGAUUCCACCACUUUUUGGUGGUGCUGGUGAUACCACAAUGUCAUGCAUUAAGUUUCUCUCUACAAGGACAGAAACAAGCAAGUGGCAAAUUCAUUGUUCUCCCAGUUUUUUGUGCUCUCGGUUUGUUUCUGUAUGAUUUUCACUAUUCUGCUAUGGCGCGGAUUAUCUGAAUAUUUUGUGGUUAACAAUAUUUCAUAUGUUCUACAGAAAUGAUGACACUUGACCUGGAGUUAAAGUGCAGUAUUAAACAAUGUGGCACAAAGUGGUUUUGGAUCAUGUAAAUACAGUAUGUACAGUGUUAGUCGGCUGGCAUAACUCGUUUUGUGGAUGUUCCAUUACUGGCAGUUAUGUUUGCUCUACAUACCAAUGUGAGGUGUGUUAAAAAAUGAAUAAUAUAUUUGGUUUUCUGCCACACUCAUUCAAGAGAAAACCGUCUAGAAAAUUACAAUGUUUUAUGCAAUAUGUUUCUGCAUGUGUAAGUAAUAUAUGGCUGUAGUUAGAGUCAAAAAACGAUACAGCCAGAUUUCGAUUCAGAGACCAUCUUCUGUGCUGCCAGCACUGGGGUGAGAGUCCCUGGGUCGAGGGUUGCAAGCCUUCUUCGUUCGUACUGCCUUACCUACUGAAGACCACCUACUGAACAGGCAGAUGUGUCCCGAGAAGCACCUGACCACUCCAAAAACUGCAUGCAACAUAUGAACUCUUCUCCUCUGUGUGAGCAGACACUUGCCUUCACCCCCCCCUCCCAUUUCCACCAUUCCCUAUUGACACUGUGCCAGCCCUGUUUUUAAACAUUGCCCUUUUUAUUCAACUUGUUGCAUGUCUCUCUUUUUCGCAUUUUUCUUUAGUUUGAAGUCUGAAGGAACCUGUUGGAAAGGGUGCAAUACAAAGACAUAUUGAAUUGAAUCAUAGUUAUAUGAACUCAUAUUCGUUAUUAGUGGGAAUAUUUAAGGGAUCUUUUAUUUGUCACUACUGUUUUAUGUGCGCAAAUAUAAAAAUCUUAAUGAUGGAAUAAAGAUGAAUAUUCAGGCA